AACGAACGCUGGCGGCAUGCCUAACACAUGCAAGUCGAACGCGUGUAGCAAUACACGAGUGGCGCACGGGUGAGUAACGCGUGGGAACCUGCCCUUGAGUUCGGAAUAACCCGGCGAAAGUCGGGCUAAUACCGGAUACGUCCCCGAGGAACCGUGAGGAGAAAGAUUUAUCGCUCGAGGAGGGGCCCGCGUCGGAUUAGCUAGUUGGUGGGGUAAUGGCCCACCAAGGCGACGAUCCGUAGCUGGUCUGAG
Molecule: ribosomal RNA, 252 nt
Filed under: uncultured Rhodoplanes sp.
Lineage: Bacteria; Pseudomonadati; Pseudomonadota; Alphaproteobacteria; Hyphomicrobiales; Nitrobacteraceae
Description: partial 16S ribosomal RNA
Rfam family: Bacterial small subunit ribosomal RNA
Source: RNAcentral